UACGGAGGAUUCAAGCGUUAUCCGGAUUUAUUGGGUGUAAAGGGCGUGCAGCCGGGCCGACAAGUCAGAUGUGAAAUCCGCGGGCUUAACCCGCGAACUGCAUUUGAAACUAUUGGUCUUGAGUACCGGAGAGGUUAUCGGAAUUCCUUGUGUAGCGGUGAAAUGCGUAGAUAUCACGCAGAACCCCGAUUGCGAAGGCAGCAUACCGGUGCACAACUGACGCUCAGGCACGAAAGCGUGGGUAUCGAACAGG
This 253-nucleotide ribosomal RNA is filed under the name uncultured bacterium. Its description in RNAcentral is "partial 16S ribosomal RNA". It matches the Rfam family "Bacterial small subunit ribosomal RNA", at positions 524 to 776 of the family's 1533-position model. The record is from RNAcentral.